Molecule: ribosomal RNA, 548 nt
Filed under: uncultured Diversispora
Lineage: Eukaryota; Fungi; Glomeromycota; Glomeromycetes; Diversisporales; Diversisporaceae
Description: SSU rRNA
Rfam family: Eukaryotic small subunit ribosomal RNA
Source: RNAcentral
UUGGAGGGCAAGUCUGGUGCCAGCAGCCGCGGUAAUUCCAGCUCCAAUAGCGUAUAUUAAAGUUGUUGCAGUUAAAAAGCUCGUAGUUGAACUUCGGGGUCUACCCAUUGGUCAGGCUUAAUUGUCUGUACUGGUGAGAUGGAUCUCUACCUUCUGAGGAACUUUCAUGCCAUUUAUUUGGUGUGGUUGGAAAUCAGGACUGUUGCUUUGAAAAAAUUAGAGUGUUUAAAGCAGACUAUCGUCUGAAUACAUUAGCAUGGAAUAAUGAAAUAGGACGGACUGAUUCUAUUUCGUUGGUUUCUAGGAUCACCGUAAUGAUUAAUAGGGAUAGUUGGGGGCAUUAGUAUUCAAUUGUCAGAGGUGAAAUUCUUGGAUUUAUUGAAGACUAACUAUUGCGAAAGCAUUUGCCAAGGAUGUUUUCAUUAAUCAAGAACGAAAGUUAGGGGAUCGAAGACGAUCAGAUACCGUCGUAGUCUUAACCAUAAACUAUGCCGACUAGGAAUCGGGCGUCGUUAUUUUAAUGACUCGCUCGGCGCCUUACGGGAAAC